ACAAAGGCUCUUUUCAGAGCCACUUCUAUAGUCAUAAAAAAAGGUG
Molecule: regulatory RNA element, 46 nt
Organism: Loxodonta africana (African savanna elephant)
Lineage: Eukaryota; Metazoa; Chordata; Mammalia; Proboscidea; Elephantidae
Rfam family: Histone 3' UTR stem-loop
About the family: The mRNAs of metazoan histone genes lack a poly-A tail. 3' end processing occurs at a site between a highly conserved stem-loop (modelled by this family) and a purine rich region around 20 nts downstream (the histone downstream element, or HDE). The stem-loop is bound by a 31 kDa stem-loop binding protein (SLBP - also termed the histone hairpin binding protein, or HBP).
Source: Rfam